Cinara cedri is the source of this 267-nucleotide non-coding RNA. The record is from the annotation of a GenBank genome assembly. Lineage: Eukaryota; Metazoa; Arthropoda; Insecta; Hemiptera; Aphididae.
ACAAAAUUUUCUUGAAUCGCGUUACUCAUACAAUUUAUUUAAUACACGGUAAUACUGAUCCACUUUCGUUAAAUUUACUACGACUACGACGGCGGCGGCGGCAAAUGUUAUUACCUAUAUCGCAGAUCCUUGGUAUGUUUCGGAGACGCGUCAAAAUAUAUCAUUAGAACGGCCACCAGAGACAAGGGGUUACGAGAAGUAAAUUCAAUAAUCCUCGUCGUUUUUAAUAUCGUGCCCUGCUGCGAUAUACGUGCGGGGAAUCAUUUA